RNAcentral lists this long non-coding RNA (863 nucleotides) under Panax ginseng (ginseng). RNAcentral's name for it is "long non-coding RNA (PGIN_LNC018985)". The record is from RNAcentral. Lineage: Eukaryota; Viridiplantae; Streptophyta; Magnoliopsida; Apiales; Araliaceae.
UUAAGAUUCACGGUUAUUACAGCUUAACCACUGAUGAACUCUGAGAUAGUUCGGGCACUGAAAUUCUGAGGUGAGUUUGCAGAGCAUCUUUCCAAACUGUAUUCGAACUUGUCUCCACAUGAUCUGAAUAGUUGGGCAUGCGUCUAGUUCUUACGAGCUCCCCAUGAGCUAGUAUAUCCUUCGGGAAGACUACGAUCAUCAAGCCUAUUCUACGAUCUGUGAGGUUGCACUACAAUCGUCGAGUUCACUUCAGAAUCUACUCUACGAACGUCGUCUAUUCUGGUCCUUGAGAUGAACUUGACUAAGCAUUCCUUCUGUGUUAAGGUAGCUCAGGAAGGGCCAACCUCUUAGAGUGAACAAAGGAUCAGGUUCGUCCCUGAGGCGCUUUCCAGAUGAAAAAACUUUAGAAGUGAUUAGCACUGAUAUCUAAUUUGACUUUUUCUGCUGGGGAGUUCAUCAACCAACUUUAGACAUUUGCAUUGGUUAUAAUCGGGGUGUCCUCCUGCUCUUACACUAUGAUCAGAUGUUUUGUGGUGACCCCAAAUCCGGAUACUUGAAACCCGAACUCGGUUCUCCACGAUACCAUUUUUUUAAGCUGAAUAAUACUAAAUAAUAAUAAUAAUAUAAUUCGAACUUAAUUUACAUACAUCAAAGUUUACUUUCCCAAGUACGUUACCUUCAAAUACAUUCCUUACAAUAUCUGACAAUAGAUUCCAUUGUCUUACUAACUAUAACCAUUAACUCAUACUAAAUCUCAUUCGAAUAGCUUUUCUUUUCCCUUGUUCGUGCCUGAGCCUUCAGGUCGAUCGUAGGUAACUGAAAACAUUUAGUUUAAGCAAGGAUGAGCAUUUGAGUGCCCANNN